Molecule: small RNA, 1468 nt
Filed under: Histoplasma capsulatum
Lineage: Eukaryota; Fungi; Ascomycota; Eurotiomycetes; Onygenales; Ajellomycetaceae
Description: hypothetical RNA
Source: RNAcentral
UUGGCAUGUUGUGGGUGGGUGGGCGUGGUGGAUGGGGUAUAAGACGGAGAUGACGGAGACGGGGAGGAGUCUGGGCCCAAAUGGGGGGGUUUUGGGAUCGAUGGAUUGGAGGAGGAGGUCGCGGAACGUUAGAUGGGUCGUUAUUGGGGUUUCAGCGACGGGGAUUGCGUUGUGGCUGGCUGGUGGACUGGGAGUUUUAGGACGAAGAGAACUGGGAAUGGGGUGGGAGGCGAAAGGGUGGGAUAAAAUAUACAAAGAGGUGCCGUUGUUAGGGCGGGUUUUAGGGCUGAAAUGAGAAAACGUAUUGUCGAUGGUUUCGGCCAUUUCAUGUUUGGGCACGUUUAAAGAUGUUCUCGUGCAGAAGUGUUCUCUUUGAAAGCCCUUCGUAAAUACAGGAUAGAAAAUGAGGAAGGACACAGGUAGGGAUACUCUGAUACCAAUUAAAUUCAACUCAAUCACGCCAAUAGAUACCCAUUCUUUAAUAUCUAACCAGCAGUCGUUCUCGGCAAAUUUAUUCUGUAUAGAGACAAACUUCCUCCACUGGCUCGGCUUGCCAAUCGAUGCGAUAUCGGAGCGCUUCUGAGUUUCGCCGAAACUAUGUAUCAACGACGACGGCAAUCAGAGAUCUUAGAGACGCCUCGAAUUUCACAAGAGGAGCAACAGAGAAGAAAAUGGCAAGUAGAUCGAGAUAGAUUGAUCGACUUUCAACGAUUGCCGGGUGCCGAAGUAGACACGGCAGAGACUAUGCCGAACUAACAGAGAACCUGCCCCGCAAAAAAAAAAAAUAAAAUAAAAUAAAAAGAAAAAUUUAACCCCCCGCCGAUACCUGCUGGAAAUACAAGUAAAUAAAAGCGCCGACUAAGCCCUCGUCUGUCCAAAAGAAACAAUCUUAGUUUGCUACUCUCUCCUCUCUGCUCUACUAACCCUCUCCCCAGCCUCCCUUACCGAAAGCAGGAACUACUAGUAUAUAUAUAACCCCCGUACACACACCCGGAAAUGGUCACCCACAAAGUCCUCGUCCUCCCCGGCGACGGAAUCGGCCCUGAAAUCACCGCCGAAGCCGUCAAAGUCCUCUCCGUCUUCUCCUCGCAAACACGCACCUUCGCCCUCCGCACCGAACUAAUAGGCGGAUGCAGCAUCGAUGCCCACGGCACCCCUCUCACUGAUUCUGUGAAGCAAGCCGCGUUAGACGCCGAUGCCGUCUUAUUCGCCGCCGUCGGCGGGCCAAAAUGGGAUGGUGUCCGCCGGGGCCUGGAGGGGCCGGAGGGCGGGCUCUUGCAAUUGCGAAAAGCGAUGAGUGUGUAUGGUAACUUGCGGCCGUGCAUAUCGCCGUGCAAGGCGGUGACGAGGGAGUUUACUCCGUUUAAGGAAGAGGUGGUUGAGGGCGUGGAGUUUCUGGUGCUGAGGGAGAAUUGUGGUGGGGCCUAUUUUGGGCGGAAAGUGGAGGAGCAGGAUUAUGCAAUGGAUG